RNAcentral lists this ribosomal RNA (484 nucleotides) under uncultured bacterium. Its description in RNAcentral is "bacterial SSU rRNA". It matches the Rfam family "Bacterial small subunit ribosomal RNA", at positions 30 to 507 of the family's 1533-position model. The record is from RNAcentral.
AUUGAACGCUGGCGGCAUGCCUUACACAUGCAAGUCGAACGGCAGCACGGGAGCAAUCCUGGUGGCGAGUGGCGAACGGGUGAGUAAUAUAUCGGAACGUGCCCAGUCGUGGGGGAUAACGCAGCGAAAGCUGUGCUAAUACCGCAUACGAUCUACGGAUGAAAGCGGGGGAUCGCAAGACCUCGCGCGAUUGGAGCGGCCGAUAUCAGAUUAGCUAGUUGGUGGGGUAAAAGCCCACCAAGGCGACGAUCUGUAGCUGGUCUGAGAGGACGACCAGCCACACUGGAACUGAGACACGGUCCAGACUCCUACGGGAGGCAGCAGUGGGGAAUUUUGGACAAUGGACGCAAGUCUGAUCCAGCCAUGCCGCGUGCGGGAAGAAGGCCUUCGGGUUGUAAACCGCUUUUGUCAGGGAAGAAAUCUUCUGGGUUAAUACCUCGGGAGGAUGACGGUACCUGAAGAAUAAGCACCGGCUAACUACGUG